RNAcentral lists this ribosomal RNA (440 nucleotides) under uncultured bacterium. RNAcentral describes it as "bacterial SSU rRNA". It matches the Rfam family "Bacterial small subunit ribosomal RNA", at positions 57 to 540 of the family's 1533-position model. The record is from RNAcentral.
GACCAGUCGAACGCAGUAGAAAUACUUGAGUGGCGGACGGGUGAGUAACGCGUGAGAAUCUAGCUUCAGGUCGGGGACAACAGAGGGAAACCGCUGCUAAUACCGGAUAUGCCGAAAGGUGAAAGAUUAAUUGCCUGAAGAUGAGCUCGCGUCUGAUUAGCUAGUUGGAGAGGUAAAAGCUCACCAAGGCGACGAUCAGUAGCUGGUCUGAGAGGACGAUCAGCCACACUGGGACUGAGACACGGCCCAGACUCCUACGGGAGGCAGCAGUGGGGAAUUUUCCGCAAUGGGCGAAAGCCUGACGGAGCAAUACCGCGUGAGGGAGGAAGGCUCUUGGGUUGUAAACCUCUUUUCUUAGGGAAGAAGCUCUGACGGUACCUAAGGAAUAAGCAUCGGCUAACUCCGUGCCAGCAGCCGCGGUAAUACGGAGGAUGCAAGCG